GGACUUUUCUCCCUCCUAGCCAGGCAAGCUAAAGGCCACCCUCCCUGGAAGUGCCUAUGCCACUGCCUGGCAUGUCUGGCUCUACUGAGCUGAGCAGAGUGUGUGCUCGUGCGGGCAGCGUGUGCUCGAGCAGGAAUCCAGGGCCGAGAAGUCCAGAUGAAGCCAUUCCCAGACCAGUCAGUGGCGUUGGCUCGUUCUAUGUGUGUCUUAUCUGAUCCCCUUAACAGGAGGGUGCCAGCAUGGGACAAUUAAAAAGCCCUGCCUGAAGCAAAAGUCUACUGGAAUGCCACGGAAGAGUCACAGCAUGGUAACAAAUGACACAUAGCCAGAAACUGAAGGCCUCAGAGCAGCCACCUACCAGAAACUGAAGACCGAUGAGGAUUGCAGGAGAACUCUGGACCAAACCGCAGCCCAACCAGCUCAGUUGGGAAGAGGUCACAGCCGAGCCGUGCCCACUGCAGCCCAUGGGACUUGUGAAAGGACGAGGUCUAUGGCCUCAGCUGCUAAACUUCUGUAGCAGCGUUCUUCACCAAUAGAUAAUAUCUUACCAUCCACGAGGAGCGCCGGAAUAAAACCAGCACUGUCGACUCCCACUGACUUCCCAACCCACCCCUUCUCUCUCUCAUGAAAAUAUUAUCCUUAUUUUGUUCUCCUCACUCCCAGGCUCUUCUUAAUAUAGAUAUGCCAUAUACAGGAAACUCACCAAGUAGAAUAUGUUUUGCAUGAAAAAAUUGAAAGAACGCGUAAAAAUCAAACUCUAUGAAAGUAACAACAAAAAUGGUCAAUGGAGUCAUUUUUUUUUCAGAUGAUGAAUAACGUUGAAAUCUUUUUUUUGGGGGGGGGGCGGGAUUUUUCGAGACAGGGUUUCUCUGUAGCUUUUGGUUCCUGUCCUGGAACUAGCUCUUGCAGACCAGGCUGGCCUCGAUAACGAUGAAAUCUUAAAGGACACAUACAAAAUAAUAUCUACGUAUCUUGUAGAAGAAAAAUAAUGAGAGGAUUUUUCCUAUUGUGUUUCUGACGUUGCAAAGAUGGAUCAUAAAAUACUUUAAGCCUGUGAAAUAAUAAAUGAAGUAGAAUAAAGAUAUGGGAGAAGGAUCCUGUAGUGGUUAACCGUUUGCUCCCAAGUUAAGGUGGCUUGAAAAGGGGGUGCUAUGUGACGCAUGUGUUGAAGCAUGCUUAUAAUCCCAGCCCUUGGGGGACAGAGGCAGGAAGAUCACUACACUACUGGCUGCCAUCUCCGAAAUCAUAAGUAAAUGAACAAAUACAUGUUAAGUGAUAAUGAAAGGGGCUUUACAAGAAAUUUGUAAUAACAAAUGGGGUCAUGUCACCUCACAACAUGUUUGUGUCCACCUCUGCCCUGCCUGCCAGUUAUUUAUUUAUAGGUAAAAAAGCAAAGCCAGAGCACAAAAGAAAACACCAGUGGCCCUGUCUUCUGGUGCCUGUAAACUCCUAUAGUCUCAUGUCUACUUAGGGAUGUUGGGGUGUGAGAGUGUGCGUGCUUCUUCAUCACUGUCAGUGACAAAGAGUGAGAGCCGCAGUUGGAUAGGGUUGCAGAUUCCAAUGGUUAGGGUCCUACUUUGAGAGCUACUUGGCUAAAAGUCACCCCUCAGGGUACACGUGGGAAGAAGACAGAAGGAAGCCACACCUACCAUUCUUUAGCACCAUUGGGCAGCAAAUCUUUGACUGAGCUAGAGAGAAGGCUGUGAGGAACAGGGGUGAAUGGGAAAGGUAGGAACAGGAAGCCAAGCUGUGAGGCCUCCCCCAGUUCCCCUGAACUGGGAUAAUGUUCAUUAUUUAAUAGUAAAAGGAGAUUUCCCCAGGAGGAAUGAGCCCCAGGGGAAGCAAAGAUCUCUUCUCAUCCUAGACAGGGUAAUUGCUGAACAGUUCCCUGCCAGCUUGUCCUCUUAACCUAGGAGGAGAGAUCAAAGGUGGGCACACCAGCUGCUGUGUCCCAGUAAGCUCCCAGUGUCAGUGCUGGCUGGAGGCACUGUCCCUUUCAGCCUUCAUGGGAGGUUUUUAAACAGACCCAGCCAGUUUCUAUGAGGGCAGAAGGCCAAGAGACAAGGCUGCCUGCUGGCUGAGGUGCCUAAAGAAGGCCUGCCAGGAGGCCUGAGGUUCCACAGCAGGUUCAACAUCUGUCCAGUCACGGUCACAGCCGCUCUCUGCUGUCAUCUGCUGAGCAGUGCAAGCAGGGACCUCAGAAACCAGAAGAGGCACAGAAGGGAAGGCGAGUACAGCAUCAAGGCUAACAUAAGAGUCGGUGGCGAUGGAGCUGGCUGUGCAGUGGCCUCUGUACACACAGCCAGGACUGCACCAAAUCCCAAAAGCUGGGCUGUUUCCCCGCUUCCUAUCCACAUCCCAGGGUGGAUCUCAGGUCUCCCUUUUGGGGUUUCUGUGACUCCCUCCAACACAGCAAUACCCCACUGCUGUUCUAGAAUCCCUUUCUUAAACCCUUCUCCUCAAUGCAAUGAAACCACAAGCCACUUCUGUCCUGCCCUCAGAGCUGAGUCUAUCCCCAAAGUCAGGUGAAGCACCCGCCCGAUGCACAGAGGAUGAGCCUUCGACCUAGGAGCAGGAGUUGAGUUCAGCAUUUGUAAGUUAAGCAAACAUGCUUAACUGUGUUAUCUGGACCACUUAAACUCAGACUGCUGAGGAUGGGAAUAUGCAAGAUCACACUGCCCAGGAGGGAUCCUAGAGCAGAGGAUGAGAUUCCUCCACGCUAGAUGCACUGUCCACAUAGCCAGAUCCUCAAGGAAGACAGACCCAGGAGGAGGGACAGGAAUGGUUUUCCACCCAACCUGAAGACUUUCUUGCUAUAGAAGCACAUG
Molecule: long non-coding RNA, 2828 nt
Organism: Alexandromys fortis (reed vole)
Lineage: Eukaryota; Metazoa; Chordata; Mammalia; Rodentia; Cricetidae
Exons: 3
Source: RefSeq, a predicted model, not a curated record